This 382-nucleotide ribosomal RNA is filed under the name uncultured eukaryote. RNAcentral describes it as "partial 18S ribosomal RNA". It matches the Rfam family "Eukaryotic small subunit ribosomal RNA", at positions 592 to 976 of the family's 1831-position model. The record is from RNAcentral.
CAAUAGCGUAUAUUAAAGUUGUUGCAGUUAAAAAGCUCGUAGUUGGAUUUCUGGUUGAAGCGACCGGUCGGGCGUUGAUUCGUCUGCACUGGAGUCGGUUUUGGCCAUCCUCUAGGAAAGUGCGUCUGGUAUUAAGUUAUCGGGCGUAUGAUCCUGGUCUUUUACUGUGAAAAAAUUAGAGUGUUUUAAGCAGGCCUUCGCCUUGAAUACAUUAGCAUGGAAUAAUAAGAUAGGACUUUGGUCUAUUUUGUUGGUUUGCAGACCGAAGUAAUGAUUAAUAGGGAUAGUUGGGGGUAUUUAUAUUCCGAUGUCAGAGGUGAAAUUCUUAGAUUUUCGGAAGAUAAACUUAUGCGAAAGCAUUUACCAAGGAUGUUUUCAUUAA